AGUCGAGGGGUAUAUGUCUUCGGAUAUAGAGACCGGCGCACGGGUGCGUAACGCGUAUGCAAUCUGCCUUUUACAGAGGGAUAGCCCAGAGAAAUUUGGAUUAAUACCUCAUAGCAUAGCAGCUUCGCAUGAAGCAGCUAUUAAAGUCACAACGGUAAAAGAUGAGCAUGCGUCCCAUUAGCUAGUUGGUAAGGUAACGGCUUACCAAGGCUACGAUGGGUAGGGGUCCUGAGAGGGAGAUCCCCCACACUGGUACUGAGACACGGACCAGACUCCUACGGGAGGCAGCAGUGAGGAAUAUUGGACAAUGGGCGCAAGCCUGAUCCAGCCAUGCCGCGUGCAGGAUGACGGUCCUAUGGAUUGUAAACUGCUUUUGUACGAGAAGAAACACUCCUACGUGUAGGAGCUUGACGGUAUCGUAAGAAUAAGGAUCGGCUAACUCCGUGCCAGCAGCCGCGGUAAUACGGAGGAUCCAAGCGUUAUCCGGAAUCAUUGGGUUUAAAGGGUCCGUAGGCGGUUUAGUAAGUCAGUGGUGAAAGCCCAUCGCUCAACGGUGGAACGGCCAUUGAUACUGCUAAACUUGAAUUAUUAGGAAGUAACUAGAAUAUGUAGUGUAGCGGUGAAAUGCUUAGAGAUUACAUGGAAUACCAAUUGCGAAGGCAGGUUACUACUAAUGGAUUGACGCUGAUGG
RNAcentral lists this ribosomal RNA (691 nucleotides) under Flavobacterium sp. S18.05.R.RBT.H.Gill.M. RNAcentral's name for it is "bacterial SSU rRNA". It matches the Rfam family "Bacterial small subunit ribosomal RNA", at positions 60 to 752 of the family's 1533-position model. Lineage: Bacteria; Pseudomonadati; Bacteroidota; Flavobacteriia; Flavobacteriales; Flavobacteriaceae. The record is from RNAcentral.